Myotis lucifugus (little brown bat) is the source of this 64-nucleotide non-coding RNA. The record is from Rfam. NCBI's taxonomy places the organism in Eukaryota, Metazoa, Chordata, Mammalia, Chiroptera, Vespertilionidae.
GGCCUCCCUCUGCGGGGCAAUCGGUCACAGGGCUCUGCGAUCGAUUGCCCCGCAGAGGGAGGCC